CAUGCUGUAAACGAUGUCAACUAGCCGUUGGGGACCUUGAGUCUUUAGUGGCGCAGCUAACGCGAUAAGUUGACCGCCUGGGGAGUACGGUCGCAAGACUAAAACUCAAAUGAAUUGACGGGGGCCCGCACAAGCGGUGGAGCAUGUGGUUUAAUUCGAUGCAACGCGAAAAACCUUACCCACCUUUGACAUGUACGGAAUCCUUUAGAGAUAGAGGAGUGCUCGAAAGAGAGCCGUAACACAGGUGC
This 248-nucleotide ribosomal RNA is filed under the name uncultured bacterium. Its description in RNAcentral is "partial 16S ribosomal RNA". It matches the Rfam family "Bacterial small subunit ribosomal RNA", at positions 796 to 1041 of the family's 1533-position model. The record is from RNAcentral.